Molecule: non-coding RNA, 21 nt
Filed under: Rattus norvegicus (Norway rat)
Lineage: Eukaryota; Metazoa; Chordata; Mammalia; Rodentia; Muridae
Source: RNAcentral
GAGUUUGAGGAUAGCCUGGGC